CUGGUACAUUGCUGUCUUCACUGGAGUGCUGCAAGCUCGAAGUGUGAUCCUGAGUAGCUGUUAUUCAAUACCAUAUGCUCUUAAGGACAACGCCCUGAUGUCCAAGGUCAAUCAGCAAGAAGCUGAGAAGGCAGUGUCAAAAUGGUUCACUGGGGCAAGGGACAGAGGAGGACAGAGAGCAUCAAGAACGCAAAAAAGGAUGUCUGUUUGAGAAAGGUUAUAACUACAGUUGCUGAUUUGAACUGUCAUAGUUCUUUUAUUUUUCUUAAAGGAAAACCUUUUUCAAUAUUUUACCAUGUUCUUCCCUCAACUUAGAUGAAUUAAUACAUAACUCUAUUUUCUCAAUGCGUGCACUUAAAGGUGGGGUGCACAAUUUCUGAAAAAAAAAAAGUUUUGGAAAAGGAAGUCGGGCAGACUACCAAAACACACUUGUAGCCAAUCAGUAGCAUGUCUACUAACUGACAUCGUUUCCUGCCUUGCGUAUUUGUGGGGCAGGUCUAUCAAAAGAAGGUCCAGAUUCUAUUAUGGUAAGGGUGUGUUUGUUUAGAUGAUUUCAAAAUGUAAACAUUAGUGAUGCAACAAUACACUUAGUUCACGGUUCAAUACAAUUUUCGGUUCUUGUCCACGGUUUUCGGUUCGGUAUCGGUCCUGAUGCCUUGACCUAUUAAAGUGUUUUUUAAUUACCGGUAUUCUAUGCUUGGGUAACAGGAACAGUGAGAUGUUAAGAAGCAAAAAUACUGGUUUUAAUUGCAGUUCUCUUUAUUUUAUGUAGAUGCAACAUGAUCUUACACAUUUCUAGUGUAUUGAUACAGUAAUAUAAGAUAUAAUUAAAUAAAGAUAUAUAAAAAUUAUAUCCUAUUCAAACUGGGGAACAUGUGAAUUCAUUACAUUACAUAAAUUGGCCAUUUUAUAUACCUGUACUUAGUAAAUUAAACUUUACAUUGUAAAUGAAGGAUAUACCUUACCGCACUACUGUUCAAUACAACAUCAUGUUGUCUAUGUAGAAACCAAAAAUGCGUUCCUCAAUCAAGAUUACUUGUGGGAUUUAUUUUAGCAUCAGGCGCAUUCUCUUCUUGAGUUGAACUUUUUGAGGACGGAAGACGUGUUUGAGGCAAAUAACGCGCGUUUGCGUUUGCAUUUGCAUCUUUACAUUGAUGUUGUAUGUAAUCUACACGCGCAAGUAAUUAAUCC
Molecule: non-coding RNA, 1191 nt
Organism: Paramisgurnus dabryanus
Lineage: Eukaryota; Metazoa; Chordata; Actinopteri; Cypriniformes; Cobitidae
Source: RefSeq, a predicted model, not a curated record